UACGUAGGGUGCGAGCGUUAAUCGGAAUUACUGGGCGUAAAGCGUGCGCAGGCGGUUCGUUGUGUCGGUGGUGAAAGCCCCGGGCUUAACCCUGGGAAUGGCCGUCGAAACUGGCGAACUGGAGUGUGGCAGAGGGGGGUGGAAUUCCGCGUGGUAGCAGUGAAAUGCGUAGAGAUGCGGAGGAACACCGAUGGCGAAGGCAGCCCCCCUGGGCUGACAC
RNAcentral lists this ribosomal RNA (220 nucleotides) under uncultured bacterium. RNAcentral describes it as "partial 16S ribosomal RNA". It matches the Rfam family "Bacterial small subunit ribosomal RNA", at positions 524 to 740 of the family's 1533-position model. The record is from RNAcentral.